Molecule: ribosomal RNA, 663 nt
Filed under: uncultured cyanobacterium
Lineage: Bacteria; Bacillati; Cyanobacteriota
Description: bacterial SSU rRNA
Rfam family: Bacterial small subunit ribosomal RNA
Source: RNAcentral
CGGACGGGUGAGUAACGCGUGAGAAUCUGGCUUCAGGUCUGGGACAACCACUGGAAACGGUGGCUAAUACCGGAUGUGCCGAAAGGUGAAAGGUUAACUGCCUGAAGAUGAGCUCGCGUCUGAUUAGCUAGUUGGAAGUGUAAUGGACUCCCAAGACGACGAUCAGUAGCUGGUCUGAGAGGACGAUCAGCCACACUGGGACUGAGACACGGCCCAGACUCCUACGGGAGGCAGCAGUGGGGAAUUUUCCGCAAUGGGCGAAAGCCUGACGGAGCAAUACCGCGUGAGGGAGGAAGGCUCUUGGGUCGUAAACCUCUUUUCUCAGGGAAGAACACAAUGACGGUACCUGAGGAAUAAGCAUCGGCUAACUCCGUGCCAGCAGCCGCGGUAAUACGGAGGAUGCAAGCGUUAUCCGGAAUGAUUGGGCGUAAAGCGUCCGCAGGUGGCAAUGUAAGUCUGCUGUUAAAGAGUCUAGCUCAACUAGAUAAGAGCAGUGGAAACUACAUAGCUAGAGUACGUUCGGGGCAGAGGGAAUUCCUGGUGUAGCGGUGAAAUGCGUAGAGAUCAGGAAGAACACCAGUGGCGAAGGCGCUCUGCUAGGCCGUAACUGACACUGAGGGACGAAAGCUAGGGGAGCGAAUGGGAUUAGAUACCCCAGUAGUC